CAUAGGAGCAAGAAGUGACAGUCUUGGUCACAUUCUGCUUAAGUAAAACUGUCACUCAAAAAACAAUCCUCGAUCAUGAGCCCAGCAGCAGGUUUUAAGGAGUUAACCGUUCAUGUGUAUCCAGUAAUGACAGCCAAUGUCAUUGCAAUGUUCAUACAUUGCUGGACACAGCUGAGUGUUCUUGAGUGAUAGUUGAGUAAGCACUUGUUUUUUGUGAGAAUCACUCAAAAUGAC
Pelobates cultripes (western spadefoot toad) is the source of this 234-nucleotide non-coding RNA. The record is from the annotation of a GenBank genome assembly. NCBI's taxonomy places the organism in Eukaryota, Metazoa, Chordata, Amphibia, Anura, Pelobatidae.